GACGAACGCUGGCGGCGUGCUUAACACAUGCAAGUCGAACGGAAAGGCCCCUUUGGGGGUACUCGAGUGGCGAACGGGUGAGUAACACGUGAGUAACCUGCCCUUGACUUCGGGAUAACUUCAGGAAACUGGGGCUAAUACCGGAUAGGAAUCCUUGCUGCAUGGUGGGGGUUGGAAAGCUUCGGCGGUUUUGGAUGGACUCGCGGCUUAUCAGCUUGUUGGUGGGGUAGUGGCUUACCAAGGCUUUGACGGGUAGCCGGCCUGAGAGGGCGACCGGCCACAUUGGGACUGAGAUACGGCCCAGACUCCUACGGGAGGCAGCAGUGGGGAAUAUUGCACAAUGGGCGGAAGCCUGAUGCAGCAACGCCGCGUGCGGGAUGACGGCCUUCGGGUUGUAAACCGCUUUCAGCAGGGGCGAAGCUUGUGGUGACGGUACCUACAGAAGAAGCACCGGCUAACUACGUG
This 465-nucleotide ribosomal RNA is filed under the name uncultured bacterium. Its description in RNAcentral is "partial 16S ribosomal RNA". It matches the Rfam family "Bacterial small subunit ribosomal RNA", at positions 28 to 507 of the family's 1533-position model. The record is from RNAcentral.